UAGGCUUCCCACUUGGCAGGGGCCGUCUUGUCCACUCGUUUCUGUAAACAUGGGUGGCAAAAAGAGAAGAUGGAGCUGCCAUUUAGAACAUGCCUAAUCCCAGCUUCAUCUUGCUGAGCAAAAAUGAAGGAGCCUGGACCCAACUUUGUUACUGUGAGAAAGGGUCUUCAUUCAUUCAAGAUGGCAUUUGUUAAGCACCUACUACAAACCUUGGAAAUCAAGAAAGUUCUGGAAUGAUGAAGCUGUUCAUGCCAAGACCGAAAGUGCUGGCCCAGUAUGAGUCCAUUCAGUUCAUGCCGUGACAAUUUUCUUGGAACUCCUUUUUAUUGCUUGUGCUCCUGGUACAUCAGCCCAUUUCAUGGUACGUUGAAGCAUGCCUCCCUGUGGGAUUGCUGGAUUCCCAGCCCAGUGAGGUAAUGACCAAGCAGCGUCUUCAGAGGAAGGAUAGCUGUACAGCGUGGUGAAGGACUCAAUGAGAAGGUGCAUUGCCCAUCCUUCAGAGAGCUCUGUGUGAAUCCAUAAAAGGUGCUUAAAGCUUUUCACUCCAUGAAGCCUCAUCUGUCUCAUGAAAGCAAUAAAUGUAAAUCAGGGAUUUCUUCUUGGUUUGGAUGCAUUGCUGGGAUGUGGCUUCCUGAGGGCCAAGCUGUAGUGAUUGUUAUCUCUCUUCUGGAUCUAGCCACCCAGCAAGUCUACCAGGCUCCGGAUUGGUACUGGGGAUUGUCUGCACAGAAUCCUGUGAUGUGAACAAUCUGUGGGUCUCUCAGUCAUGGAUACUAGCACCUGCUCCACAGUGGAGGUAGCAGAGGGGUGAAAUGGACUCUGUGAAGG
RNAcentral lists this long non-coding RNA (828 nucleotides) under Homo sapiens (human). RNAcentral's name for it is "HSALNT0404103". The record is from RNAcentral. Lineage: Eukaryota; Metazoa; Chordata; Mammalia; Primates; Hominidae.